GGGGAAACCCUGUUCCAGCCAUCCCGCGUGUGCGAUGAAGGCCUUCGGGUUGUAAAGCACUUUUGGCAGGAAAGAAACGUCGCGGGCUAAUACCCCGUGGAACUGACGGUACCUGCAGAAUAAGCACCGGCUAACUCUGUGCCAGCAGCCGCGGUAAUACGGAGGGUGCAAGCGUUAAUCGGAAUUACUGGGCGUAAAGCGUGCGCAGGCGGUUGUGCAAGA
Molecule: ribosomal RNA, 222 nt
Filed under: Chaetoceros curvisetus
Lineage: Eukaryota; Bacillariophyta; Thalassiosirophyceae; Chaetocerotales; Chaetocerotaceae
Description: partial Bacterial small subunit ribosomal RNA
Rfam family: Bacterial small subunit ribosomal RNA
Source: RNAcentral